This 992-nucleotide long non-coding RNA is filed under the name Gallus gallus (chicken). RNAcentral describes it as "lncRNA (ENSGALG00010022703.1)". Lineage: Eukaryota; Metazoa; Chordata; Aves; Galliformes; Phasianidae. The record is from RNAcentral.
CUAAAAACAUGCUAUAAAAUACAUCGUGGCCUUCUUCUUCAAAUCAACAUGGAGCUUCCUCAAGAACCUGCCCUAAAAUCAGCACGCGGCGAUUGGGUUACUGUGCUGGGAUAGUUUGCUGCAGGAACUCAGCCAGGUGCUGCUGCCGGGUAACUGAUCCAAAGCUCCGCGGCGCUGUGAUGGUUUUGCCAGCUGAUCCUCCGGGCACACAGGUCCCGGACAGCAGCACACCGAGCUGGGGUCUGAGUGCAGCCUGGGGCGGCAAUCUGCAGCCCUGCACUGCACUCCUGGGCCGUCACCAAGAGCCGUUUUUGUCCUCCUGAUCAUAGCACGCAUUCUGCACAGCUCUGGGUACAGCUGUGGGUUUGGGAUGUUGGAAGGAACCGUACAUGUUUGGUGCAAUGCUGUGCUUGCCUGGGACCCUUGGGGCUGUGCCACGUCUGCACAGCAGAUCUGCACCCUGCUCUGCUCCCAGGCCUCCUGGGCUGUGCUGGGAGAAAGACAGCAGCAGAGCAUUCAGCCACAGGGUGAGCCUCAGCACAGAGCUCAUUCAGCCUGAACGCUGUGAAAAUCAGUUAAAAGCUUUUUUUGAUCUGAGUCUGGGAGGUCUUCAAGGAACCACAUGCUAUCUGUACAUUUAGAUUGGAAGCUCACAACUAAUUUCUUGCAAGGAUUAAGAAAGAACAUCCCUUACAGUUGUGCCUAUUGGGCUGUCAGCAGCUCAGAAGCCUGACACUUCUGCAAGAGCGCUCCGAGGCAGCAGCACACAAGCACCCAGCACACCAGCAAUGAUGAGCAAAGCACAGUGUGCAGCCAUGGGAGCUCUGCAGCUCCCUUAAGGCUUUGCCCAACCCCAGGUAGCCCAGGUUUCUGGGAAGCUGCUCCGUGUCGCUCACCAGGAGGGCAGGAUGGCUCUCUGCACUGUACGGGGAUGUGCUGCCCCUCUGCAGCCUCCUGCUCCUGCUGAUGCUGCAGCAGGACGUGUAAUACCC